This is a long non-coding RNA of Myotis myotis, 1019 nucleotides long. RefSeq lists it as uncharacterized. The transcript has 3 exons. The record is from RefSeq and is a predicted model, not a curated record. NCBI's taxonomy places the organism in Eukaryota, Metazoa, Chordata, Mammalia, Chiroptera, Vespertilionidae.
UGACAAUGAUAGGAAAGAAGUAAAGAGUGCUACAAUGUUAUAGCAAUAGAAAAUAACUGAAGAGUGUUAUAGGAAAUGUAGAAAAAUUAUUUUGUGUGAAAUAUUUAUGUGAAAUAUUAAAGAGCACAGGAAUGACCACUCUGGCCAAGCCUUAGCUGCACCAUAUAGAUAAGACCAUAGCUGAAUGCUCCCCUUAGGAAUGACGUCUGUAAACCUGAUAGACACCUUCUGAGUGACACUGUAGCUGAUAACCAGCCUGUACUCUGAUUAACACUUUUGUAAUGACGUACGUUACUGAUAGCCAUCUGGACUGCCGUGGGUCAGGACAGGCUUAAAAACGGGUCCCCAGACAUCGAUCCUCUUUUUGAUCCAUGCUCCACGCUGCCUUGCUCCACGUCAGAGGGCGGAAGAACGCCAAACCUCUUCCUGCUGACUCGACCCAACCGGACGGCCAGCCACCCAAAGACGGAUCCACCGCUGCCCGCAGAGGAUGCCACUCUUUCCUGGGGACCCCGUUAAGUCUGAGCCCACGGCACCAGGAACCUUGUGAAUAAUAAAAUCAAGAAACAAGGAUGUUCACGGCAGCACGAGAAGUGGGGUUCAGACAAGUGCACGGCGUGGCAGAGAAGCUGGUCUUACCACUUUGGUGUGGGUAGUAGAGGCAGAGACCUCAGUGCUUUCGGUUUCAACUCCUUUCUGCACCCCACUAAGCCAUUUCUUGUAUUCCAUUCGCACCUGCUUGGGGAAAAUUGAUAAGACAUCUCCUUAGGACAUCUGCUGGACUGUGUUCUGGAAAGCAAACUAACGUUUCAAGACAACCCCCCUGGUAUCUGCUCAACUUCAACACAAACCUCCUCCCUUCCUUGUUGCUUAGCAACAAACAGCCACUGCUUAAAAGAGCAGACCACCCUUUCUUCCCUGCCCUGUAUUGACUAGCAAUACUUGACCCUUUCCUCUCUUGGAGAGUAAAAUCAAUUUCCUCUCUGCAAAUCUUCUUUCAGUUGUGAAUUCUUUCACAG